GUGAACAAUUAAGGGCGCGCGGUGGAUGCCUAGGCUCUCGGAGGCGAAGAAGGACGCGAUAAGCCGCGAUAGUCCACGGCGAGGUGCAAGUAACCCUUGACCCGUGGGUUUCCGAAUGGGGCAACCCGGCCGUCUAGAUGACGGUCAUGCAUUAUCAUGCAGGCGAACGCGGGGAACUGAAACAUCUCAUUACCCGCAGGAGAAGAAAACAACAGUGAUUCCCCCAGUAGUGGCGAGCGAACGGGGAAGAGCCCAAACCGCUGCCGUUUCGGCGACAGCGGGGUCAUGGGACCGCGAUAUUCGACGAUGGACGAAGUGCAAUUACCUGGAAAGGUAAGCCGUGGAGGGUGACAGCCCCGUGCACGACACCUCUUUCUUAGAUAGCGGAAUCCCGAGUAGGGCGGGACACGAGAAAUCCUGCCUGAAUUCGCCAGGACCUCCUGGCAAGGCUAAAUACUCCCGAGAGACCGAUAGUGAACCAGUACCGUGAGGGAAAGGUGAAAAGUACCCCGAGCAGGGGGGUGAAAUAGACCCUGAACCCGCGCGCCUACAAGCGGUCGGAGCCAUGAAAUAUGGUGACGGCGUGCCUUUUGCAUAAUGAGCCUACGAGUUAGUCGUCACCAGCGAGGUUAAGGGCUUCAGGCCCGUUAGCCGAAGUGAAAGCGAGCCUUAACAGGGCGUUCAGUUGGUGGCGCUAGACGCGAAACCUUGUGAUCUACCCACGAGCAGGUUGAAGUCGCGGUAACACGUGAUGGAGGACCGAACCGGUAAACGUUGAAAAGUUUUCGGAUGACUCGCGGGUAGGGGUGAAAGGCCAAUCAAACUGGGAAAUAGCUCGUACUCUCCGAAAUGCAUUUCGGUGCAGCCUGUGAUGUUCUGUUCCAGAGGUAGAGCUACUGGUUGGACGCGAGGGCUUCACCGCCUAUCAAAUCCGGAUAAACUCCGAAUGCUGGAACACGAAAUCAUGGAGUGAGCCCGCGGGUGCUAAGGUCCGCGGACGAGAGGGAAAGAACCCGGACCACCGGCUAAGGUCCCGGAUGGACAGUUAAGUUGAUCAAACGAGGUGGGAUCGCGGAGACAGCUAGGAUGUUGGCUUGGAAGCAGCCAUUCAUUUAAAGAGUGCGUAACAGCUCACUAGUCGAGCGAUCCCGCGUGGAUAAUACACGGGCAUCAAACUGUCAACCGAAGCCGUGGGGUCAGCGAAAAGCUGACCGGUAGGAGAGCAUUCCUGCCAGCGUUGAAGGUCACCCGCGAGAGUGACUGGAGCGGCAUGAAAAGCAAAUGUAGGCAUAAGUAACGAUAAUGGGGGCGAGAACCCCCCACGCCGCAAGACCAAGGAUUCCCCGGCAAUGUCAAUCAGCCGGGGGUCAGCCGGCCUCUAAGGCUAACCCGAAGGGGGAUGCCGACGAGAAACGGGUUAACAUUCCCGUGCUUCUCGUCACCGUGACGCGGUGACGGGGUGAUGAAUGGACCGCGCGCUGACGGAAUAGCGCGUUGAAGGCCGUACCCUUCGAGGGUGGUAGUCAAGCACGCCACCCGAGGCGAUAGCCGAUAGUACCACGAGACUCCGGUCGAGUGGAUAGCGUCCAGGCAAUUUACCCCCGAGAAAACCCGCUAAACUUCAAGUGACGAGGAACCGUACUGUAAACGGACACACGUGGUCGGGUAGAACAUACCAAGGCGCUCGAGUGAUUCAUGGUCAAGGAACUAGGCAAAAUAGUCCUGUAACUUAGGGAUAAAGGACGCUCUAGUGAUAGAGCCGCAGAGAAAUGGCCCAGGCGACUGUUUACCAAAAACACAUGGCUAUGCCAAAUCGAAAGAUGACGUAUAUGGCCUGACACCUGCCCGGUGCCGGAAGGUUAAGAGGAGAGCUCAUCCGAAAGGAGAAGGUUUGAAUUGAAGCCCCGGUAAACGGCGGCCGUAACUAUAACGGUCCUAAGGUAGCGAAAUUCCUUGUCGGGUAAGUUC
RNAcentral lists this ribosomal RNA (1968 nucleotides) under human gut metagenome. RNAcentral's name for it is "bacterial LSU rRNA". It matches the Rfam family "Bacterial large subunit ribosomal RNA", at positions 1 to 1983 of the family's 2925-position model. The record is from RNAcentral.